GUUGAACGCUGGCGGCAUGCUUUACACAUGCAAGUCGAACGGUAACAGGGUGCUUGCACCGCUGACGAGUGGCGAACGGGUGAGUAAUGCGUCGGAACGUGCCGAGUAGUGGGGGAUAACGCAGCGAAAGUUGUGCUAAUACCGCAUACGUACUGAGGUAGAAAGUGGGGGACCUUCGGGCCUCACGCUAUUCGAGCGGCCGACGUCUGAUUAGCUAGUAGGUGAGGUAAAGGCUCACCUAGGCGACGAUCAGUAGCGGGUCUGAGAGGAUGAUCCGCCACACUGGGACUGAGACACGGCCCAGACUCCUACGGGAGGCAGCAGUGGGGAAUUUUGGACAAUGGGCGAAAGCCUGAUCCAGCCAUGCCGCGUGUCUGAAGAAGGCCUUCGGGUUGUAAAGGACUUUUGUCAGGGAGGAAAUCCCUAGUGCUAAUAACACUGGGGGAUGACAGUACCUGAAGAAUAAGCACCGGCUAACUACGUGCCAGCCGCCGCUGUAA
This 500-nucleotide ribosomal RNA is filed under the name uncultured bacterium. RNAcentral describes it as "partial 16S ribosomal RNA". It matches the Rfam family "Bacterial small subunit ribosomal RNA", at positions 28 to 523 of the family's 1533-position model. The record is from RNAcentral.